Molecule: ribosomal RNA, 483 nt
Filed under: uncultured bacterium
Lineage: Bacteria
Description: partial 16S ribosomal RNA
Rfam family: Bacterial small subunit ribosomal RNA
Source: RNAcentral
UUGAACGCUGGCGGCAGGCCUAACACAUGCAAGUCGAGCGGAUGAAGGGAGCUUGCUCCUGGAUUCAGCGGCGGACGGGUGAGUAAUGCCUAGGAAUCUGCCUGGUAGUGGGGGAUAACGUCCGGAAACGGGCGCUAAUACCGCAUACGUCCUGAGGGAGAAAGUGGGGGAUCUUCGGACCUCACGCUAUCAGAUGAGCCUAGGUCGGAUUAGCUAGUUGGUGGGGUAAAGGCCUACCAAGGCGACGAUCCGUAACUGGUCUGAGAGGAUGAUCAGUCACACUGGAACUGAGACACGGUCCAGACUCCUACGGGAGGCAGCAGUGGGGAAUAUUGGACAAUGGGCGAAGGCCUGAUCCAGCCAUGCCGCGUGUGUGAAGAAGGUCUUCGGAUUGUAAAGCACUUUAAGUUGGGAGGAAGGGCAGUAAGUUAAUACCUUGCUGUUUCGACGUUACCAACAGAAUAAGCACCGGCUAACUUCGUG